CAGUCGCCACGGUAAUACGUAGGGUGCAAGCGUUAAUCGGAAUUACUGGGCGUAAAGCGUGCGCAGGCGGUUUGUUAAGACAGAUGUGAAAUCCCCGGGCUCAACCUGAGAACUGCAUUUGUGACUGGCAGGCUAGAGUAUGGCAGAGGGGGGUGGAAUUCCGCGUGUAGCAGUGAAAUGCGUAGAUAUGCGGAGGAACACCGAUGGCGAAGGCAAUCCCCUGGACCUGUACUGACGCUCAUGCACGAAAGCGUGGGGGGCAAACAGGAUUAGAUACCCCAGUAGUCCCUGUCUCUUAUAC
RNAcentral lists this ribosomal RNA (301 nucleotides) under uncultured bacterium. Its description in RNAcentral is "partial 16S ribosomal RNA". It matches the Rfam family "Bacterial small subunit ribosomal RNA", at positions 509 to 807 of the family's 1533-position model. The record is from RNAcentral.